This 919-nucleotide ribosomal RNA is filed under the name uncultured marine bacterium. Its description in RNAcentral is "bacterial SSU rRNA". It matches the Rfam family "Bacterial small subunit ribosomal RNA", at positions 1 to 916 of the family's 1533-position model. The record is from RNAcentral.
AUAGAUUGAUCCUGCUCAGAUGACGCUGCGUAGGCUACACAUGCAAGUCGAGCGGUACAGGCAUUUGAUCAGCUUGCUGAAUCUCGCGCUGACGAGCGGCGGACGGGUGAGUAACGCGUAGGAAUCUACUAGUAGAAGGGGAUAGCCCGGGGAAACUCGGAUUAAUACGUAUACGUCUUUAGGGAGAAAGAGGGCUUAGCUUUGAUGCUCUCGCUAUUAGAUGAGCCUGCGUAAGAUUAGCUUGUUGGUGGGGUAAAGGCUCACCAAGGCUACGAUCUUUAGCUGGUCUGAGAGGACGAUCAGCCACAUUGGGACUGAGACACGGCCCAGACUCCUACGGGAGGCAGCAGUGGGGAAUAUUGGACAAUGGGCGCAAGCCUGAUCCAGCCAUACCGCGUGUGUGAAGAAGGCCUUCGGGUUGUAAAGCACUUUAAGUAAGGAAGAAAAGUAUAUUGUUAAUACCAAUAUACCGUGACAUUACUUACAGAAUAAGGACCGGCUAAUUCCGUGCCAGCAGCCGCGGUAAUACGGAAGGUCCAAGCGUUAAUCGGAAUUACUGGGCGUAAAGCGCGCGUAGGUGGUUUAUUAAGUUGGGUGUGAAAGCCCCGGGCUCAACCUGGGAACUGCAUCCAAAACUGAUUCACUAGAGUACGAAAGAGGGAGGUAGAAUUCACAGUGUAGCGGUGGAAUGCGUAGAUAUUGUGAAGAAUACCAAUGGCGAAGGCAGCCUCCUGGUUCUGUACUGACACUGAGGUGCGAAAGCGUGGGUAGCGAACAGGAUUAGAUACCCUGGUAGUCCACGCCGUAAACGAUGACAACCAGCUGUUGGGAAGCAAUGCUUUUCAGUGGCGCAGCUAACGUCUUAAGUUGUCCGCCUGGGGAGUACGGCCGCAAGGUUAAAACUCAAAGGAAUUGACGG